UUUGAUCGAGCCCAGCCACAGCGGCCGGUCCGCGGGCCGGUCCUGCCCGUAGGCGGCGAUCAGCGCGUGUGCCUC
Nocardia donostiensis is the source of this 75-nucleotide non-coding RNA. Lineage: Bacteria; Bacillati; Actinomycetota; Actinomycetes; Mycobacteriales; Nocardiaceae. The record is from Rfam.